AGUACCGUGAGGGNAAAGGUAAAAAAGAACCCCNGGAAGGGGAGUGAAAAUAGAUCCUGAAACCGUAUGCAUACAAACAGUGGGAGCCCGCCAGGGUGACUGCGUACCUUUUGUAUAAUGGGUCAGCGACUUACAUUCAGUGGCGAGCUUAACCGAAUAGGGGAGGCGCAGGGAAACCGAGUCCGAACAGGGCGUUCAGUCGCUGGGUGUAGACCCGAAACCAGGUGAUCUAUCCAUGGCCAGGAUGAAGGUACCGUAACAGGUGCUGGAGGUCCGAACCGACUACUGUUGCAAAAGUAGCGGAUGAGCUGUGGAUAGGGGUGAAAGGCUAAACAAACCUGGAAAUAGCUGGUUCUCUCCGAAAACUAUUUAGGUAGUGCCUCAGGUAUUACCAUCGGGGGUAGAGCACUGUUUUGGCUAGGGGGUCAUGGCGACUUACCAAACCAAUGCAAACUCCGAAUACCGAUGAGUACAGCUUGGGAGACAGAGCACCGGGUGCUAACGUCCGGACUCAAGAGGGAAACAACCCAGACCGCCAGCUAAGGUCCCUAAAAUUGGCUAAGUGGGAAACGAAGUGGGAAGGCUAAAACAGUCAGGAUGUUGGCUUAGAAGCAGCCAU
This 619-nucleotide ribosomal RNA is filed under the name uncultured bacterium. RNAcentral's name for it is "bacterial LSU rRNA". It matches the Rfam family "Bacterial large subunit ribosomal RNA", at positions 497 to 1119 of the family's 2925-position model. The record is from RNAcentral.